RNAcentral lists this ribosomal RNA (256 nucleotides) under Enterobacter cloacae complex sp. P38RS. Its description in RNAcentral is "partial 16S ribosomal RNA". It matches the Rfam family "Bacterial small subunit ribosomal RNA", at positions 1 to 255 of the family's 1533-position model. The record is from RNAcentral. Lineage: Bacteria; Pseudomonadati; Pseudomonadota; Gammaproteobacteria; Enterobacterales; Enterobacteriaceae.
AAAUUGAAGAGUUUGAUCAUGGCUCAGAUUGAACGCUGGCGGCAGGCCUAACACAUGCAAGUCGAACGGUAGCACAGAGAGCUUGCUCUCGGGUGACGAGUGGCGGACGGGUGAGUAAUGUCUGGGAAACUGCCUGAUGGAGGGGGAUAACUACUGGAAACGGUAGCUAAUACCGCAUAACGUCGCAAGACCAAAGAGGGGGACCUUCGGGCCUCUUGCCAUCAGAUGUGCCCAGAUGGGAUUAGCUAGUAGGUGG